This 521-nucleotide ribosomal RNA is filed under the name Anolis poecilopus. Its description in RNAcentral is "partial 16S ribosomal RNA". It matches the Rfam family "Bacterial large subunit ribosomal RNA", at positions 1817 to 2597 of the family's 2925-position model. Lineage: Eukaryota; Metazoa; Chordata; Lepidosauria; Squamata; Anolidae. The record is from RNAcentral.
AGCCUUUAGCAAAACAAGUAUUAAAGGUAACGCCUGCCCAGUGAAAUUUAAACGGCCGCGGUAUCCUAACCGUGCAAAGGUAGCGUAAUCACUUGUCUUAUAAAUGAAGACCUGUAUGAAUGGCUAUAUGAGUAUUUAACUGUCUCCUUUAACUAAUCAGUGAAACUGAUCUUUCAGUACAAAAGCUGAAAUAUUUAUAUAAGACGAGAAGACCCCGUGGAGCUUUAAAUUUUUAACAAAGUACUACUAAAACGCUUAUGGUAAAAAAUUUUUAGUUGGGGCGACUUUGGAGUAAAACUCAACCUCCAAGAAAAGGUACUACCUACUUUAGGCUUACAAGCCAAACUCCAUAGACCCAGUAUUAAAUACUGAUCAACGAACCAAGUUACCCCAGGGAUAACAGCGCCAUCUUCUUCAAGAGUUCAUAUCGACAAGAAGGUUUACGACCUCGAUGUUGGAUCAGGACACCCAAAUGGUGUAGCCGCUAUUAAAGGUUCGUUUGUUCAACGAUUAACAGUCCU